AUUGGAUGAGCCCGCGGCCUAUUAGCUUGUUGGUAGGGUAAUGGCCUACCAAGGCGACGAUGGGUAGCCGGCCUGAGAGGGUGUACGGCCACACUGGAACUUAGACACGGUCCAGACUCCUACGGGAGGCAGCAGUGGGGAAUUUUGCGCAAUGGGCGAAAGCCUGACGCAGCGACGCCGCGUGGAGGAUUAAGGCCUUCGGGUUGUAAACUCCUGUCAGAGGUGAAGAAAGUCUCUUCGGAGAUAUGACGGUAACCUCAGAGGAAGCCCCGGCUAACUACGUGCCAGCAGCCGCGGCCGAAU
RNAcentral lists this ribosomal RNA (303 nucleotides) under uncultured actinomycete. RNAcentral describes it as "bacterial SSU rRNA". It matches the Rfam family "Bacterial small subunit ribosomal RNA", at positions 220 to 526 of the family's 1533-position model. Lineage: Bacteria; Bacillati; Actinomycetota; Actinomycetes; Actinomycetales. The record is from RNAcentral.